This 30-nucleotide non-coding RNA is filed under the name Mus musculus (house mouse). Lineage: Eukaryota; Metazoa; Chordata; Mammalia; Rodentia; Muridae. The record is from RNAcentral.
UAUAAGAUGGAGUCUAUUAGGCAGAACACA